RNAcentral lists this transfer RNA (62 nucleotides) under Anilios australis (Southern blind snake). RNAcentral's name for it is "partial transfer RNA-Thr". The record is from RNAcentral. Lineage: Eukaryota; Metazoa; Chordata; Lepidosauria; Squamata; Typhlopidae.
GUCCCAAUAGCUUAAGAUAAAGCACUGUUCUUGUAAACCAGCGUUGGAGAAAUCCUUGGGAC